This 1469-nucleotide ribosomal RNA is filed under the name Klebsiella pneumoniae. Its description in RNAcentral is "16S ribosomal RNA". It matches the Rfam family "Bacterial small subunit ribosomal RNA". The record is from RNAcentral. Lineage: Bacteria; Pseudomonadati; Pseudomonadota; Gammaproteobacteria; Enterobacterales; Enterobacteriaceae.
GCUCAGAUUGAACGCUGGCGGCAGGCCUAACACAUGCAAGUCGAGCGGUAGCACAGAGAGCUUGCUCUCGGGUGACGAGCGGCGGACGGGUGAGUAAUGUCUGGGAAACUGCCUGAUGGAGGGGGAUAACUACUGGAAACGGUAGCUAAUACCGCAUAANGUCGCAAGACCAAAGUGGGGGACCUUCGGGCCUCAUGCCAUCAGAUGUGCCCAGAUGGGAUUAGCUAGUAGGUGGGGUAACGGCUCACCUAGGCGACGAUCCCUAGCUGGUCUGAGAGGAUGACCAGCCACACUGGAACUGAGACACGGUCCAGACUCCUACGGGAGGCAGCAGUGGGGAAUAUUGCACAAUGGGCGCAAGCCUGAUGCAGCCAUGCCGCGUGUGUGAAGAAGGCCUUCGGGUUGUAAAGCACUUUCAGCGGGGAGGAAGGCGNUNAGGUUAAUAACCUNNNCGAUUGACGUUACCCGCAGAAGAAGCACCGGCUAACUCCGUGCCAGCAGCCGCGGUAAUACGGAGGGUGCAAGCGUUAAUCGGAAUUACUGGGCGUAAAGCGCACGCAGGCGGUCUGUCAAGUCGGAUGUGAAAUCCCCGGGCUCAACCUGGGAACUGCAUUCGAAACUGGCAGGCUAGAGUCUUGUAGAGGGGGGUAGAAUUCCAGGUGUAGCGGUGAAAUGCGUAGAGAUCUGGAGGAAUACCGGUGGCGAAGGCGGCCCCCUGGACAAAGACUGACGCUCAGGUGCGAAAGCGUGGGGAGCAAACAGGAUUAGAUACCCUGGUAGUCCACGCCGUAAACGAUGUCGAUUUGGAGGUUGUGCCCUUGAGGCGUGGCUUCCGGAGCUAACGCGUUAAAUCGACCGCCUGGGGAGUACGGCCGCAAGGUUAAAACUCAAAUGAAUUGACGGGGGCCCGCACAAGCGGUGGAGCAUGUGGUUUAAUUCGAUGCAACGCGAAGAACCUUACCUGGUCUUGACAUCCACAGAACUUUCCAGAGAUGGAUUGGUGCCUUCGGGAACUGUGAGACAGGUGCUGCAUGGCUGUCGUCAGCUCGUGUUGUGAAAUGUUGGGUUAAGUCCCGCAACGAGCGCAACCCUUAUCCUUUGUUGCCAGCGGUNCGGCCGGGAACUCAAAGGAGACUGCCAGUGAUAAACUGGAGGAAGGUGGGGAUGACGUCAAGUCAUCAUGGCCCUUACGACCAGGGCUACACACGUGCUACAAUGGCAUAUACAAAGAGAAGCGACCUCGCGAGAGCAAGCGGACCUCAUAAAGUAUGUCGUAGUCCGGAUUGGAGUCUGCAACUCGACUCCAUGAAGUCGGAAUCGCUAGUAAUCGUAGAUCAGAAUGCUACGGUGAAUACGUUCCCGGGCCUUGUACACACCGCCCGUCACACCAUGGGAGUGGGUUGCAAAAGAAGUAGGUAGCUUAACCUUCGGGAGGGCGCUUACCACUUUGUGAUUCAUGACUGGGGUGA